CAGCUCAGGGCGGCUGAGCGGGGAUCUGCGUGCUCUGGGCUGGCUAACGCGACAAGCACAGCCGUCAGCGCGGCCAUGAUGCGAUUACACGGCUAAUCAGCUCAGCGCAUCCUCCACCACCCGCAGCCCCCGCCUCGCUGAGGGGUCUGCGUGGCCUGUGCCCAGGAUUUCACCCCUAAUGAGCGGGGCUCUGCUCUCCUGGAGGCAGCCCCGAGGGAGGCCCGUGACCCAGCUGCUCUGGUGACUGAGGUGUGGGUCGAGUGGCCGGGGGCCUCUGCCCAUCGCCCUGCCGGCUGGGAGGCGGUCCCAGGCCUGUUCCAGGCUGCCUGUGGAGAAAGGCAGCGCUCUUGGUUUCCGUGGUGAUGGCCUGCAAACGCCCUCCCGGGCUCCGGGCACCUGCCUGGAGGGGGUGGGGUCUGGUAGCUGAGAGGGAUGAGGGGGGAAGCUCUGCUUCCCCUCCCCCAGGGCCCCGCCGCGCGUCUGAUUGGCAGCAGGAGCUCACGGUCUGAAAUGCGCCAGCGCCCGGCUCUGACCUGGGAAGCAUCGAAGGAUGAGGCCUGGGCUGGACUCCACUACUGCACGAAGUGGACAGAACCCUGCCCCAAUCCUGCCCCCACCUCAAUUUGCAGAGUGACCUUGGAAGGACUGUGGUGGCAACUACCAGGAACAGAAAGCCAGACCAACAUGCUACCCAAAGUGGGAUCCGGCUGCUCGCCGAUCUAAAGCCAAUCCUCGAGAGGCAAAGCUGGUUGAAAGGAAAAUUUGCUUUAUUCCGGAGGCCGGCAACAAGAGGGGAAGGAGGACUUGUAUCCAAAGGCCAAGUCCCCCCUGAAGAUCAGUGGGCAAGAGGUUGUUUUUUUUUUUUGCGGUACGCGGGCCUCCCACUGUUGUGGCCUCUCCCGUUGCGGAGCACAGGCUCUGGACACGCAGGCCCAGCGGCCAUGGCUCACGGGCCCAGCCGCUCCGCGGCAUGUGGGAUCUUCCCUGACCGGGGCACGAACCCGCGUCCCCUGCAUCGGCAGGCGGACUCUCACCCACUGCACCACCAGGGAAGCCCCGGGCAGAGCUUUUAAAGGGGAGUUUCAGGGGUGUAUAAGGGGAGGGAGGGGGCUGCAUGCAGAACAGCACAGUCAGCUCUGACAGUCACCUUGAAAUCGGUCAUCGGUGGUCUGACCAGCGUCAUCUUGAUUGUUUAAGUGCAGUUAGUCUUCAGGUCCAGGGUCGGUUUGUUCCCAUUUCUUUGAGACCAGCUCUCGAAAUUGUGGCAGCUUAUGUCAUGGCUAGAGGCUGACCAUCGUGCAGUUAACUUCUUCCUGGUGGCGGUUUCGGCAUCUACAAAACAGCUCACAGGACGUGGCUCAGAGCAGUAUCUCCAGCCCUUGAGGAGGAUCUAAAAGUCCUUGACUCUGCUCUGAACUAUUAUUAUUCUGUCCUGUCUGACUGUUUUCCUUUGCUUCUGCAUUUUCCCACUUCGCUGAUUAAACUUAUUCUUUGUCUAAAGUUUUUCUACAGACAAAAGG
Long non-coding RNA from Globicephala melas (long-finned pilot whale), 1520 nucleotides. RefSeq lists it as uncharacterized. NCBI's taxonomy places the organism in Eukaryota, Metazoa, Chordata, Mammalia, Artiodactyla, Delphinidae. The record is from RefSeq and is a predicted model, not a curated record.